CAGCUCAGAUGGCAGCCCUGCAAGCUAAAGCUUUGGCAGAGACAGGAAUAGCUGUUCCUAGCUACUAUAACCCAGCCGCUGUUAAUCCAAUGAAAUUUGCUGAACAAGAGAAAAAAAGGAAAAUGCUUUGGCAGGGCAAGAAAGAAGGGGUAAGUUCUCUUAUUCUGCUUUUCUGUCGUUUAUUCCUAAUUAGUAAUUGCUUAGAAAAACAAAUUUGGGUUGAAAAAUAUUACUUUCGGCUUAACUUUGUAAGAACCUGGGGUGGCCAGACGCGGGUGGCUUAUGCCUUUAAUCCCAGCACUUUGGGAUGCCAAGUGAGCGGAUCAGUUGAGGUAAGGAGUCCAAGACCAGCCUGGCCAACAUGGCAAAACCCUGUCUCUACUGAAAAGAAGAUAAAAAUCAGCUGGGUGUGGUGGCACACACCUGUAAUCCCAGGUGCUUGGGAGGCUGAGGCAGGAGAAUCGCUUGAGCCUGGGAUGCAGAGCCUACAUACAGUGCCCACCACCAUGCCAGGCUAGUUUUUUGUAUUUUUAGUAGAGACGGGGUUUCACCUAGUCAUCCAGGCUAGUCUCGAUCCCCUGACCUCAGGUGAUUUGCCCACCUCGGCCUUCCAAAGUGCUGGGAUUAUAGGAGUGAAGCACGGCGCCAACCUCUUGCUUGUAUUUCUUUGCUUUGUGGUUUCUUAAGUCUUGAAAUAAUUAAACUUACAUUGAUUGAAUGCUAUCCAUGGUGUUUUUUUUUUUAAUUUAGACAUUGUUGAGAGAUUUCAUGUCCUAAAAAAUAUUUAAAUUUUACAUAUUUUAAAGUUCAGUGUUUGUUAACAGGACAAAUCCCAAUCUGCUGAAAUAUGGGAAAAAUUGAAUUUUGGAAACAAGGACCAAAAUGUCAAAUUUAGGAAAUUGAUGGGUAUUAAGGUGAGUUUCACAUGUGCCAGGGGAUCUUUGUAUUAGCUAUUAGCCCUCCUGCACUGUUCUUCCCUCAUUUUCUUAGUUCUGGUCUUUACUCAGGUGUCAGCGUUUUUGAGUUCUUUCCCACCACCUUUUGUGAAAUAACAAGCAAUCCCAUUCUGAAACAUUUCCAUCUCCCCUACCCACUGUCCUCCCUACACACACACUUGGAGAGAGAGAGAGAGACGGGGUUUUGCUCUGCUUGCUCUGUCACUUGGGCUGGAGUACAGUGGUGCAGUCAUACCUCACUGCAGCCUUAAACUUCGAGGCUCAAGCAGUCCUUCCACCUCGGCCUCUCAAAGCCCUGGAUCACAGUUCUGAGCCACUGCGCCCAGCCUCCAUCCCCAUUUUCUACUUUACUUUCCUCUGUGGCAUUUAUACCCUGACAUCUUCUACAUAUUAUGUUUUUUCCAACCUACUAAACUGAAG
This 1376-nucleotide long non-coding RNA is filed under the name Homo sapiens (human). Its description in RNAcentral is "non-protein coding lnc-ZCCHC8-1:10". The record is from RNAcentral. Lineage: Eukaryota; Metazoa; Chordata; Mammalia; Primates; Hominidae.